This 662-nucleotide long non-coding RNA is filed under the name Rattus norvegicus (Norway rat). RNAcentral describes it as "long non-coding RNA NONRATT032671". The record is from RNAcentral. Lineage: Eukaryota; Metazoa; Chordata; Mammalia; Rodentia; Muridae.
CAAGGUCCCUACCACACAGCAUGAACAGAGAGAACCCAGAAUGGCAGCUUUGCAACCUGAAGCCCCAGCUUGAACCUGGGCAACAAAAUGGCUGGCUGCCAAGAGGUUAAUUAUCCUAACUUCCUGCAGAGGGAAUCUUCAAUGAACACAGGCUGUAUGACAGAGAUCAGAGAAACACUACUGAGGUGGUGGGCAAGUAAAGGGUUAUAUCAACUCCCAAUGCUCAGCUACAGUUGAACUGCACAAUGGUGGAGCACCAGCUCGGUCUACACAGGACGCCGGGCUGGAUCCUUGGAUGUCAGACAAUGGAUUAUCAAGAAAUCUUAGACUAGCUCUCGGUUUCUCAUACAGAGAUCAAAACAUGUGAGUAAAGGUUAAAGGUGAUCUGAAGUCGGGGUGUGUGGUUCACUAGACAGGAGGGGUAAGAGGAAACCCAUACAAAUCGCACAGACGCCAGUCUACUAACAUUAUGUGUAGCUUGGCUGAGAAGCCAGUAAACCCUUCCACAGAAAGCUGUGAAGAGGGGAGUAUGCAGAGCGAGCGGUCGGGAUAAGGACAGCUGAAGAUCUACAAAUUAAAGCUGGGAAUUGAAACCAGUUAGCUACAGUGACAGAAGGGCAAAGUGCAGGAUGUUAACAGAGUCAAGAAGAUCAAAGUGCGGC